UCUAUUGUGGCAGAAAAUUGCGAUGAAUUUAAGAUUCCUACAUAAAUACUAUUAUUUCUAUAGAA
Molecule: transfer RNA, 65 nt
Filed under: Darthula hardwickii
Lineage: Eukaryota; Metazoa; Arthropoda; Insecta; Hemiptera; Aetalionidae
Description: tRNA-Leu
Source: RNAcentral